Molecule: ribosomal RNA, 478 nt
Filed under: uncultured bacterium
Lineage: Bacteria
Description: partial 16S ribosomal RNA
Rfam family: Bacterial small subunit ribosomal RNA
Source: RNAcentral
GAUGAACGCUGGCGGCGUGCUUAACACAUGCAAGUCGAACGAGAAGUGGAGACGGAAACCUUCGGGCGGAAGACUUUACUUCGAGUGGCGGACGGGUGAGUAACGCGUGGGUAACCUGCCUCAUACAGGGGGAUAACAGUUGGAAACGACUGUUAAUACCGCAUAAGACCACAGCACCGCAUGGUGCGGGGGUAAAAACUCCGGUGGUAUGAGAUGGACCCGCGUUCGAUUAGCCAGUUGGCGGGGUAACGGCCCACCACAGCGACGAUCGAUAGCCGAUCUGAGAGGAUGACCGGCCACAUUGGGACUGAGACACGGCCCAAACUCCUACGGGAGGCAGCAGUGGGGAAUAUUGCACAAUGGGGGAAACCCUGAUGCAGCGACGCCGCGUGAGUGAAGAAGUAUUUCGGUAUGUAAAGCUCUAUCAGCAGGGAAGAAAAUGACAGUACCUGAGUAAGAAGCCCCGGCUAACUACGUG